Molecule: transfer RNA, 76 nt
Filed under: Cavia porcellus (domestic guinea pig)
Lineage: Eukaryota; Metazoa; Chordata; Mammalia; Rodentia; Caviidae
Rfam family: tRNA
About the family: Transfer RNA (tRNA) molecules are approximately 80 nucleotides in length. Their secondary structure includes four short double-helical elements and three loops (D, anti-codon, and T loops). Further hydrogen bonds mediate the characteristic L-shaped molecular structure. tRNAs have two regions of fundamental functional importance: the anti-codon, which is responsible for specific mRNA codon recognition, and the 3' end, to which the tRNAs corresponding amino acid is attached (by aminoacyl-tRNA synthetases). tRNAs cope with the degeneracy of the genetic code in two manners: having more than one tRNA (with a specific anti-codon) for a particular amino acid; and 'wobble' base-pairing, i.e. permitting non-standard base-pairing at the 3rd anti-codon position.
Source: Rfam by way of RNAcentral
GCAUUGGUGGCUCAGUGGUAGAGUCCUCACCCCCCGACACACAGGGGAGGCCUGGGUUCGAUUCCUGGCCAAUGCA